GAGUUUGAUCCUGGCUCAGAACGAACGCUGGCGGCGUGCUUAACACAUGCAAGUCGAACGUGAUCCAGAGCUUGCUCUGGUGAAAGUGGCGCACGGGUGAGUAACGCGUGGAUAACCUGCCCUGGUAUCUGGGAUAACAUCUCGAAAGGGGUGCUAAUACCGGAUAAGCCUACGGACUCCUYGGAGUCUGCAGGAAAAGGAGGCCUCUAUUUAUAAGCUUCCGUAUCAUGAUGGGUCCGCGUACCAUUAGCUAGUUGGUGGGGUAAUGGCCUACCAAGGCGACGAUGGUUAGCUGGUCUGAGAGGAUGAUCAGCCACACUGGAACUGAGACACGGUCCAGACUCCUWCGGGAGGCAGCAGUGGGGAAUUUUGUGCAAUGGGGGAAACCCUGACGCAGCAACGCCGCGUGAGUGAUGAAGGCUUUCGGGUCGUAAAGCUCUGUCAGAGGGGAAGAAAUGAAACGUGCUAAUAUCACGUUUUCUUGACGGUACCCUCAAAGGAAGCACCGGCUAACUCCGUGCCAGCAGCCGCGGUAAUACAAGGGCGAAUUSKRRAS
RNAcentral lists this ribosomal RNA (556 nucleotides) under uncultured Geobacteraceae bacterium. Its description in RNAcentral is "bacterial SSU rRNA". It matches the Rfam family "Bacterial small subunit ribosomal RNA", at positions 9 to 540 of the family's 1533-position model. Lineage: Bacteria; Pseudomonadati; Thermodesulfobacteriota; Desulfuromonadia; Geobacterales; Geobacteraceae. The record is from RNAcentral.